GACUGCUCUGUGGCCUAGUGGUCAGAGUGUCUGCCUCAGAUGUGGAAGGUUGUGGGUUUGAAUCCCAGCUGAGUCA
Potamilus streckersoni is the source of this 76-nucleotide non-coding RNA. The record is from the annotation of a GenBank genome assembly. NCBI's taxonomy places the organism in Eukaryota, Metazoa, Mollusca, Bivalvia, Unionida, Unionidae.